Molecule: long non-coding RNA, 1121 nt
Filed under: Equus caballus (horse)
Lineage: Eukaryota; Metazoa; Chordata; Mammalia; Perissodactyla; Equidae
Description: lncRNA (ENSECAG00000052664.1)
Source: RNAcentral
CUGUUUGUGACGUCGAGAGUUUCUAGGAGAUGGGCCGUGAUGUUCCCUGUUCUGAGGGUAGGCACCUUGAUUCAUCUAGAAUGUUGGUUGUGAACAGUUUCACAGUUUUUGAAGCAUAUCGCUGAAAUGCUUUCCCAAAGAAUGGUGCCAGUUUCUACUCUAAUCAGUAAUAGAGAUGAAUAAACUCACUCUGGUGAACACGUUUAUUCAGUGUGUGGAGUUUACAAAAGGCUCAAGUCCCAUCACGAUGAAAGGAGGGUAUUUAUUCUCACCAUUUUGUCAUCAGGCUCAUUUAUACAUUUUCUGGGCCUUCUACUUUUUUCCUAUUCCUCAUAUCAAUCAGGGUGUUUUCAUAGAUGCACAACCCCUAGAAGAUGUAUAUAUCUUUGUUACAGGGAUGUGACUUUACACAUUUGUGGAGCUGGCUGAGCAGGCUCCCUAAGACUGUUGUCUUUGCGUCUGAUGCUGGAGCUGGAAGUCCACAGGGUGAGUGGUUGGGAAGGGAAGGGGAACAUUAAGUGGGAGGGCUGGGGAGCUAGCUGGAACGCACAAGCAUGAUCGAAGGAUGGACUGAAAGUUGUAUCUAUUAUUGUUGCCUCUAACCUUGGUGAUGAGAGCAUCCUGCAGAAUCCAGGGGCCUUCCUCAUGGAGCUAAUAGACACCCAUAUCUAGCCUGCCAGUUGGAGAAGGUGAAGAAGGAAUGGGGAAAGUGGAGCACUUGCAGACCCAGCCACUGCUUCAUGCCAACAAAAAAAAGCAAUGAGAACCUGGGCUGAGACAGUAGCAAAUGCACCCUUGCAUUUGGGAAAGUAGCCGGGUGGCAAAAUCAUGGGUGUGAAACAAUGCUCUCAAAUGUAGAAGGUCAGUAUUUCUCAUAGCCAGAUCAAAUAUUAUAGAGAUUUUCUCAUAACAAGGAAUUACAUAACUUUAGAUGUAAAAAGUUAAAAUUUCCACUUCUGGCAAAGAAAGAGCAAUAGGGAAUUACCUUCCCAAUAGAAAAAAAAAAGCAAACAAUGGUUUUUAAGACAUUGGAUAUCAAUUAACAGAUAACAGUGAUUCCAGAAGGAUGGGUAACGUGGGGGACUGGCAUUGGCCACCCCAAGAUAUGUCUCUUUGGCAUG